GAUGAACGCUAGCGGCAGGCUUAACACAUGCAAGUCGAGGGGUAACAGGGAGAAGCUUGCUUUUCCGCUGACGACCGGCGCACGGGUGCGUAACGCGUAUAGAACCUACCUUUUACAGAGGAAUAGCCCAGAGAAAUUUGGAUUAAUGCCUCAUAGUAUUAUAGAAUGGCAUCAUUUUAUAAUUAAACAUUUAUGGGUAAAAGAUGGCUAUGCGUUCUAUUAGCUAGUUGGUAAGGUAACGGCUUACCAAGGCUACGAUAGAUAGGGGUCCUGAGAGGGAGAUCCCCCACACUGGUACUGAGACACGGACCAGACUCCUACGGGAGGCAGCAGUGAGGAAUAUUGGACAAUGGAGGCAACUCUGAUCCAGCCAUGCCGCGUGCAGGAAGACGGCCCUAUGGGUUGUAAACUGCUUUUAUAUAGGAAGAAACCUUUCCACGUGUGGAAAGCUGACGGUACUAUAAGAAUAAGCACCGGCUAACUCCGUGCCAGCAGCCGCGGUAAUACGGAGGGUGCAAGCGUUAUCCGGAAUCAUUGGGUUUAAAGGGUCCGUAGGCGGACUAAUAAGUCAGGGGUGAAAUCCAACAGCUUAACUGUUGAACUGCCUUUGAUACUGUUAGUCUUGAAUUAUAUGGAAGUAGAUAGAAUGUGUAGUGUAGCGGUGAAAUGCUUAGAGAUUACACAGAAUACUCGUAUUGCGAAGGCAGUCUACUACGUAUAUAUUGACGCUAAUGGACGAAAGCGUGGGGAGCGAACAGGAUUAGAUACCCUGGUAGUCCACGCCGUAAACGAUGGACACUAGUUGUUGGAGUAAUUCAGUGACUAAGCGAAAGUGAUAAGUGUCCCACCUGGGGGAGUACGAUCGCAAGAUUGAAACUCAAAGGAAUUGACGGGGGGCCCGCACAAGCGGGUGGAACCAUGUGGGUUUUAAUUUCGAAUGAAUACGCCGAGGAACCCUUUACCAGGGCUUAAAUGGUAGGGUUGGCAUUUAGCCUAGAAGAUAGCUUAUUUUCUUCCGGAACUACUUUACAAAGGUGGCUGGCAUGGGUUUG
RNAcentral lists this ribosomal RNA (1052 nucleotides) under Lutibacter sp. RNAcentral describes it as "bacterial SSU rRNA". It matches the Rfam family "Bacterial small subunit ribosomal RNA", at positions 28 to 1062 of the family's 1533-position model. The record is from RNAcentral. Lineage: Bacteria; Pseudomonadati; Bacteroidota; Flavobacteriia; Flavobacteriales; Flavobacteriaceae.